CACCUAGCGUGGCCAUUAAACUCUGCGGCCCUCCGCGGCACACAGUGGACGCUGACCAAGCUGUUCUCCAAAGCUCAUUUGAGAAAUACCUACUGAGCACGCACUUCCAUCGCUCCAGAGUCCUGGGCGUCCAGGUAAAGAGGGUCCCAGCCACAAGGUGUUCCCUUCCUGGUCCUGAGUUAC
Molecule: long non-coding RNA, 183 nt
Filed under: Fukomys damarensis (Damara mole-rat)
Lineage: Eukaryota; Metazoa; Chordata; Mammalia; Rodentia; Bathyergidae
Description: lncRNA (ENSFDAG00000026585.1)
Source: RNAcentral